This 379-nucleotide ribosomal RNA is filed under the name uncultured bacterium. RNAcentral's name for it is "bacterial SSU rRNA". It matches the Rfam family "Bacterial small subunit ribosomal RNA", at positions 521 to 898 of the family's 1533-position model. The record is from RNAcentral.
UAAUACGUAGGUGGCAAGCGUUGUCCGGAAUUAUUGGGCGUAAAGCGCGCGCAGGCGGCUUCUUAAGUCUGAUGUGAAAUCUUGCGGCUCAACCGCAAGCGGUCAUUGGAAACUGGGAGGCUUGAGUGCAGAAGAGGAGAGUGGAAUUCCACGUGUAGCGGUGAAAUGCGUAGAGAUGUGGAGGAACACCAGUGGCGAAGGCGGCUCUCUGGUCUGUAACUGACGCUGAGGCGCGAAAGCGUGGGGAGCAAACAGGAUUAGAUACCCUGGUAGUCCACGCCGUAAACGAUGAGUGCUAAGUGUUAGAGGGUUUCCUCCCUUUAGUGCUGCAGCUAACGCAUUAAGCACUCCGCCUGGGGAGUACGGCCGCAAGGCUGAA